GCAUGAAUUACAGGGUACAUCUCCUUUGGCACAGAUGCAUGCAGCAGAAUGCAUAUAUGCAUAUGCGAAACUGUCGAGCGUGCCAAAGGAGAAUUGCCCUGCGAUUCUAGG
RNAcentral lists this microRNA precursor (111 nucleotides) under Sorghum bicolor (sorghum). RNAcentral describes it as "mir-399 microRNA precursor family". It matches the Rfam family "mir-399 microRNA precursor family". From Rfam's summary of the family: mir-399 was identified in both Arabidopsis thaliana and Oryza sativa computationally and was later experimentally verified. mir-399 is thought to target mRNAs coding for a phosphatase transporter. The mature sequence is excised from the 3' arm of the hairpin. Lineage: Eukaryota; Viridiplantae; Streptophyta; Magnoliopsida; Poales; Poaceae. The record is from Rfam by way of RNAcentral.